UUGGAGGGCAAGUCUGGUGCCAGCAGCCGCGGUAAUUCCAGCUCCAAUAGCGUAUAUUAAAGUUGUUGCAGUUAAAAAGCUCGUAGUUGAAUUUCGGGAUUUGUCAGUUGGUCGGGCUUCACUGUCCGUAUUGGCUUGAUGGAUUCUUACCUUCUGAAUAACCAGCAUGCUAUUAAGUUAGUGCGUUGGGGAAGCAGAUCUAUUACCUUGAAAAAAUUAGAGUGCUUAAAGCGAGCUAGUGCUUGAAUAGAUUAGCAUGGAAUAAUAAAAUAGGACGGCAUGGUUCUAUUUUGUUGGUUUCUAGGAUCACCGUAAUGAUUAAUAGGGAUAGUUGGGGGCAUUAGUAUUCAAUUGUCAGAGGUGAAAUUCUUGGAUUUAUUGAAGACUAACUUCUGCGAAAGCAUUUGCCAAGGAUGUUUUCAUUAAUCAAGAACGAAAGUUAGGGGAUCGAAGACGAUCAGAUACCGUCGUAGUCUUAACCAUAAACUAUGCCGACUAGGAAUCGGACGAUGUUAAUUUUAUAAUGACUCAUUCGGCGCCUUACGGGAAAC
RNAcentral lists this ribosomal RNA (551 nucleotides) under uncultured Acaulospora. Its description in RNAcentral is "SSU rRNA". It matches the Rfam family "Eukaryotic small subunit ribosomal RNA", at positions 548 to 1098 of the family's 1831-position model. Lineage: Eukaryota; Fungi; Glomeromycota; Glomeromycetes; Diversisporales; Acaulosporaceae. The record is from RNAcentral.